This 393-nucleotide ribosomal RNA is filed under the name uncultured bacterium. RNAcentral's name for it is "partial 16S ribosomal RNA". It matches the Rfam family "Bacterial small subunit ribosomal RNA", at positions 523 to 918 of the family's 1533-position model. The record is from RNAcentral.
AUACGUAGGUGGCAAGCGUUGUCCGGAAUUACUGGGUGUAAAGGGAGCGCAGGCGGGGAUGCAAGGUGGAUGUUAAAUCCCACAGCUCAACUGCGGCACUGCCUUUGAUACUGCUUUUCUGGAGUUCGGAUGCCGUGGGAGGAAUGGGCAGUGUAGCGGUGAAAUGCAUAGAUAUUGCCCAGAACACCGAUUGCGAAGGCAUCUCACGAAUCCGAGACUGACGCUGAGGCACGAAAGCGUGGGGAUCAAACAGGAUUAGAUACCCUGGUAGUCCACGCAGUAAACGAUGAUAACUAAUCGUCGGCGAUAGAAUGUCGGUGGCCAAGCGAAAGCGAUAAGUUAUCCACCUGGGGAGUACGUUCGCAAGAAUGAAACUCAAAGGAAUUGACGGGG